UACAGAGGUCCCAAGCGUUGUUCGGAAUUACUGGGCGUAAAGCGUGUGUAGGCGGCAGGGCAAGUCGGAUGUGAAAUCCCGUGGCUCAACCAUGGACGUGCACUCGAAACUGCCUAGCUAGAGUCUCGGAGAGGAGGGUGGAAUGCUUGGUGUAGAGGUGAAAUUCGUAGAUAUCGAGAGGAACACCGGUGGCGAAGGCGGCCUUCUGGACAGUGACUGACGCUGAGACGCGAAAGCGUGGGGAGCAAACAGG
Molecule: ribosomal RNA, 253 nt
Filed under: uncultured bacterium
Lineage: Bacteria
Description: partial 16S ribosomal RNA
Rfam family: Bacterial small subunit ribosomal RNA
Source: RNAcentral